UCCCUGGUGGUCUAGUGGUUAAGACUCUGCACUUUCACUGCGGGGAGUCCAGGUUAGAUCUUGGUCGGGGAA
This 72-nucleotide transfer RNA is filed under the name Bos taurus (domestic cattle). It matches the Rfam family "tRNA". From Rfam's summary of the family: Transfer RNA (tRNA) molecules are approximately 80 nucleotides in length. RNAcentral also lists the same sequence under 1 other name. Lineage: Eukaryota; Metazoa; Chordata; Mammalia; Artiodactyla; Bovidae. The record is from Rfam by way of RNAcentral.